CGAGUUCAAGCCGAAGCUUUGAUCUUGUGUUAUGGGAUGCACAGCCUGCCAGUCUUGUCUGCAUCAUUUGCAUCAUAGCAUGUUUAUUUUCAAAAAGAUACGCAGUAAAAAAAAAGAAUUGAAAAAAAAUGAAAAAGAAAAAGAAAAGAAAAAGAAAAGAAAAAGCUAAUCUAUGCAUGCAUAUCAUUUCUCAGGUUCAUUCAGGAGUUCGGUUCACUGAUAGAGAUGGCAACAGUCCCAGAGUUGAAGCGGAAGACUUGCACUUACAUUUUUCACCGUGAG
Molecule: long non-coding RNA, 282 nt
Filed under: Lathyrus oleraceus (garden pea)
Lineage: Eukaryota; Viridiplantae; Streptophyta; Magnoliopsida; Fabales; Fabaceae
Description: Pisum sativum (pea) long non-coding RNA (PSAT_LNC002145)
Source: RNAcentral